RNAcentral lists this long non-coding RNA (1041 nucleotides) under Zonotrichia albicollis (white-throated sparrow). RNAcentral's name for it is "lncRNA (ENSZALG00000002815.1)". Lineage: Eukaryota; Metazoa; Chordata; Aves; Passeriformes; Passerellidae. The record is from RNAcentral.
CAAAGGGUGGACUCAAUGGCCUUGGAGGCCUUUUCCAGCCAUAAUGGUCUAUGACUCUCUGUACUCUUUUUCAAAAAUAGUAAUAGAAAAUCUGUGGCCACACCAUUACUGAAAUUGAAACCUGCCCUAUUUUCCAUUUCCUUUGUAAAGAUGUCCUGUAACCAUGCUGUAACAUAUGUUCCUAGUGUUAUUGUUUAGAAGAAAUUUGUAUUUCCUGACAUGCUCAAAUAUCAAACUAAUCUCCAAAAAUUCCAGUUAAUAGCAAUAAUUGUUCUGGUUUUGCUGUGACAUAGUUGUCUCUUGAAUUCCAGCUAAUGGCUUAGCUGAUCAAUAUUUUAUAGGGAGUGCUGCUUACCAUGCAGCUCUUACAUAAACACUGUUGGGAAGAGAGAAAUCCCUGAGCUGACAGAGCAGAAAGGCAGGAUGGCCUCCUGGGCUUGGCUAUUAAUUGAUAAAAUUACUAAAACUUCUUUCCAGCCUUUUUAUUGAUUCAUCUAAAUAUACUUUAAGUUACAUUCUUACUUCGUACAGGAUGAUAAAUUUAUUUAAUCUGCAGGAUUAAAGAAGUGCAACAGUUUCCAAGGAUUCAAAGGUGUGGUGGGAAAAGAAAAAAAGUUUUUUACCUCAUUGGCAGAGAAUUUAAGCAGAAGAGCACAAGAGUUGCCUUUGACAUCUGUUCCAUAUGAAGCCACAGAAGCUGAGUAAAUGGGUGGGGCAUUCUCACCUCCUUGCAGAGCCCAGAGGAAACAAAAGAAGAAAAUGUUGCUGAGAACACUAAAACAUAACACUUUGGCAGAGGUGAUCAUCACAUCCUCCAGGCAUUUCUACCUGUGGUGCUGCCCUGGCAGUUGUGGGGUAUUGUGGAAAUAAAGUGUGAAGUCACUCAGGACUGGUUGUGGAUGAGGCAAGUACAUAAAUGCAUUUUGUCAGAGGUGAGAGGGAAUGCUUGCUUCCACAGGGGAAGGGGAAUAGUGGUUCUGAAAACUGAAAACACAACAAAUGUCUGUUAAAAGGGGGAGCUGGGGAGCAGGACAAGGCAGC